GGUCUGUAGCUCAGGUGGUUAGAGCCCACCCCUGAUAAGGGUGAGGUCGGUGGUUCAAGUCCACCCAGACCCACCAGAAUUGCGUGGCUCGUCGUUGCUUCCAAGCUCACGUGCGACUCGCACGCUACGCUUGCAAGCGCCUAGAUCCACACAAUUCUAUAGCUAAGGU
RNAcentral lists this transfer RNA (169 nucleotides) under uncultured Marinobacter sp. Its description in RNAcentral is "tRNA-Ile". The stretch from base 1 to 73 matches the Rfam family "tRNA". Lineage: Bacteria; Pseudomonadati; Pseudomonadota; Gammaproteobacteria; Pseudomonadales; Marinobacteraceae. The record is from RNAcentral.